AUUGAACGCUGGCGGCAGGCCUAACACAUGCAAGUCGAACGGUAACAGGAAGAAUCUUGCUUCUUUGCUGACGAGUGGCGGACGGGUGAGCAAUGUCUGGGAAACUGCCUGAUGGAGGGGGAUAACUACUGGAAACGGUAGCUAAUACCGCAUAACGUCGCAAGACCAAAGAGGGGGACCUUCGGGCCUCUUGCCAUCGGAUGUGCCCAGAUGGGAUUAGCUAGUAGGUGGGGUAACGGCUCACCUAGGCGACGAACCCUAGCUGGUCUGAGAGGAUGACCAGCCACACUGGAACUGAGACACGGUCCAGACUCCUACGGGAGGCAGCAGUGGGGAAUAUUGCACAAUGGGCGCAAGCCUGAUGCAGCCAUGCCGCGUGUAUGAAGAAGGCCUUCGGGUUGUAAAGUACUUUCAGCGGGGAGGAAGGGAGUAAAGUUAAUACCUUUGCUCAUUGACGUUACCCGCAGAAGAAGCACCGGCUAACUCCGUG
Molecule: ribosomal RNA, 490 nt
Filed under: uncultured bacterium
Lineage: Bacteria
Description: partial 16S ribosomal RNA
Rfam family: Bacterial small subunit ribosomal RNA
Source: RNAcentral